CUCAGCCAUAAAAAAGAAUGAAAUAAUGCCAUUUGCAGCAACAUGGAUGCAACUAGAGAUUAUCAUAACUUUUGUUUUUUAAUUCAAUUUGAAGACUAUAAAGUACCCAUUAUGUAUCAGGUGCUGUGCCUGGUACUGAGGAUACAAAAAUGACAGACAACCUGGAACUCAAGUUGCUCACAAUAUAUGAGGAAGGCAAUUAAGUUCAUAAUACGUCGAGAAAUUAUAAAAGAAAGCUCACACUGCACCUCUACCUCUCCUACACGUUCUCACUUACACCACAUUCUUUGAGGAAAGAAAAUACAGUUUCAGGUUGGGUGUUUCUUUUGAUGCUAAGAUGCUUUAAAGGUAAGUGUAGAAAAUGAGAGAAAUAAAUGUUUAUUCCUUUCCCAUCUGGAUUUUGCAAAGCAAACUACAAGAGAAAACAGUCCAUUCUCAAUCAGUGUGCAUUUGUUCCCUCCUGUCUCUCUCAUUCUGCUCAGGAUUAAA
Molecule: non-coding RNA, 489 nt
Organism: Kogia breviceps (pygmy sperm whale)
Lineage: Eukaryota; Metazoa; Chordata; Mammalia; Artiodactyla; Physeteridae
Source: RefSeq, a predicted model, not a curated record